This 212-nucleotide unclassified non-coding RNA is filed under the name soil metagenome. RNAcentral's name for it is "partial contains 5.8S ribosomal RNA, internal transcribed spacer 2, and large subunit ribosomal RNA". The record is from RNAcentral.
AACAAGGCGUACCUGCGGACCUGCGGAGGGAUCAUUACAAGUGACCCCGGUCUAACCACCGGGAUGUUCAUAACCCUUUGUUGUCCGACUCUGUUGCCUCCGGGGCGACCCUGCCUUCGGGCGGGGGCUCCGGGUGGACACUUCAAACUCUUGCGUAACUCUGCAGUCUGAGUAAACUUAAUUAAUAAAUUAAAACUUUUAACAAUGGAUCU